UGCGUAACGCGUAUGCAACCUACCUUCAUCAGGGGGAUAGCCCGAAGAAAUUCGGAUUAACACCGCAUAACAUUAUUGGAUGGCAUCAUUUAAUAAUCAAAUAUUUAUAGGAUGAAGAUGGGCAUGCGUGUCAUUAGCUAGUUGGUGAGGUAACGGCUCACCAAGGCGACGAUGACUAGGGGAUCUGAGAGGAUGACCCCCCACACUGGUACUGAGACACGGACCAGACUCCUACGGGAGGCAGCAGUAAGGAAUAUUGGUCAAUGGAGGCAACUCUGAACCAGCCAUGCCGCGUGCAGGAAGACUGCCUUAUGGGUUGUAAACUGCUUUUAUACGGGAAUAAACCUUGAUUCGUGAAUCGAGCUGAAUGUACCGUAAGAAUAAGGAUCGGCUAACUCCGUGCCAGCAGCCGCGGUAAUACGGAGGAUCCAAGCGUUAUCCGGAUUUAUUGGGUUUAAAGGGAGCGUAGGCGGCCUAUUAAGUCAGGGGUGAAAGACGGUGGCUCAACCAUCGCAGUGCCUUUGAUACUGGUAGGCUUGAAUGUAGUUGGGGUAGGCGGAAUGUGACAAGUAGCGGUGAAAUGCAUAGAUAUGUCACAGAACACCGAUUGCGAAGGCAGCUUACUAAGCUAUGAUUGACGCUGA
RNAcentral lists this ribosomal RNA (644 nucleotides) under uncultured bacterium. RNAcentral describes it as "bacterial SSU rRNA". It matches the Rfam family "Bacterial small subunit ribosomal RNA", at positions 107 to 749 of the family's 1533-position model. The record is from RNAcentral.